GGACUGUUAGUUUAUCGGUUAGAAUACUCGCCUGUCACGCGAGUGAGACGGGUUCGAUUCCCGUACAGUCCGCCA
RNAcentral lists this transfer RNA (75 nucleotides) under bacterium. RNAcentral's name for it is "tRNA-Asp". It matches the Rfam family "tRNA". From Rfam's summary of the family: Transfer RNA (tRNA) molecules are approximately 80 nucleotides in length. Their secondary structure includes four short double-helical elements and three loops (D, anti-codon, and T loops). The record is from RNAcentral.